GACGAACGCUGGCGGCGUGCCUAAUACAUGCAAGUUGAGCGCUGAAGGUUGGUACUUGUACCAACUGGAUGAGCAGCGAACGGGUGAGUAACGCGUGGGGAAUCUGCCUUUGAGCGGGGGACAACAUUUGGAAACGAAUGCUAAUACCGCAUAAAAACUUUAAACACAAGUUUUAAGUUUGAAAGAUGCAAUUGCAUCACUCAAAGAUGAUCCCGCGUUGUAUUAGCUAGUUGGUGAGGUAAAGGCUCACCAAGGCGAUGAUACAUAGCCGACCUGAGAGGGUGAUCGGCCACAUUGGGACUGAGACACGGCCCAAACUCCUACGGGAGGCAGCAGUAGGGAAUCGUCGGCAAUGGACGAAAGUCUGACCGAGCAACGCCGCGUGAGUGAAGAAGGUUGUCGGAUCGUAAAACUCGGUUGGUAGAGAAGAACGUUGGUGAGAGUGGAAAGCUCAUCAAGUGACGGUAACUACCCAGAAAGGGACGGCUAACUACGUG
This 497-nucleotide ribosomal RNA is filed under the name uncultured bacterium. Its description in RNAcentral is "partial 16S ribosomal RNA". It matches the Rfam family "Bacterial small subunit ribosomal RNA", at positions 28 to 507 of the family's 1533-position model. The record is from RNAcentral.